AGGUGUGGGGUGCUACAUCUGUCACCCCAUUGAUCGACAGGGUUGAUGCGCCUGAUCUGGCUGGCUAGGCCGGUGUCCCUGUCCUGCCUCACCACUCCAUGUGUGUCCCCCCUGAAGCUGCGGGCUUGAUUGAAGAGGACGACCUUCCCCGAAUAGAGGAGGACUGGUCUUCAAAGGGUCAAGGGUAUAGGAGUAGCCAUGGCUCCCCUGCAAGAACCUCCAAACAAGCUCUCAAGAACUCUGCCUUUCGAUUCCUUUCUGGAACAGUGAGGGUAAAGCAUGCAGUUUUGCUUUUGUGGUACAGCAAGUGCUG
Unclassified non-coding RNA from Cricetulus griseus (Chinese hamster), 313 nucleotides. Its record names the gene 7SK. It matches the Rfam family "7SK RNA". From Rfam's summary of the family: 7SK was discovered as an abundant small nuclear RNA in the mid-70s but a possible function has only recently been suggested. Two independent studies have found that 7SK RNA binds the CDK9/cyclin T complex (known as elongation factor P-TEFb). The record is from Ensembl. Lineage: Eukaryota; Metazoa; Chordata; Mammalia; Rodentia; Cricetidae.